GUGGGGAAUCUUGCGCAAUGGGCGAAAGCCUGACGCAGCCAUGCCGCGUGAAUGAUGAAGGUCUUAGGAUUGUAAAAUUCUUUCACCGGGGACGAUAAUGACGGUACCCGGAGAAGAAGCUCCGGCUAACUUCGUGCCAGCAGCCGCGGUAAUACGAAGGAGGCUAGCGUUGCUCGGAAUUACUGGGCGUAAAGGGCGCGUAGGCGGACAGCUUAGUCAGAGGUGAAAGCCCAGGGCUCAACCUUGGAAUUGCCUUUGAUACUGGCUGUCUUGAGUUUGGGAGAGGUGAGUGGAACUCCGAGUGUAGAGGUGAAAUUCGUAGAUAUUCGGAAGAACACCAGUGGCGAAGGCGACUCACUGGCCCAAUACUGACGCUGAGGCGCGAAAGCGUGGGGAGCAAACAGGAUUAGAAACCCGUGUAGUCC
Molecule: ribosomal RNA, 425 nt
Filed under: uncultured bacterium
Lineage: Bacteria
Description: partial 16S ribosomal RNA
Rfam family: Bacterial small subunit ribosomal RNA
Source: RNAcentral